RNAcentral lists this ribosomal RNA (160 nucleotides) under foliar endophyte of Picea glauca sp. O6. Its description in RNAcentral is "5.8S ribosomal RNA". It matches the Rfam family "5.8S ribosomal RNA". From Rfam's summary of the family: 5.8S ribosomal RNA (5.8S rRNA) is a component of the large subunit of the eukaryotic ribosome. It is transcribed by RNA polymerase I as part of the 45S precursor that also contains 18S and 28S rRNA. The record is from RNAcentral. Lineage: Eukaryota; Fungi; Ascomycota.
UCAAAACUUUCAACAACGGAUCUCUUGGUUCUGGCAUCGAUGAAGAACGCAGCGAAAUGCGAUAAGUAAUGUGAAUUGCAGAAUUCAGUGAAUCAUCGAAUCUUUGAACGCACAUUGCGCCCGCCAGUAUUCUGGCGGGCAUGCCUGUUCGAGCGUCAUU